CGUUAAUGGGUGAUGGCGUGCCUUUUGUAGAAUGAACCGGCGAGUUACGAUCUGAUGCAAGGUUAAGCAGAAAAUGUGGAGCCGUAGCGAAAGCGAGUCUGAAUAGGGCGAAUGAGUAUUUGGUCGUAGACCCGAAACCAGGUGAUCUACCCUUGGUCAGGUUGAAGUUCAGGUAACACUGAAUGGAGGACCGAACCGACUUACGUUGAAAAGUGAGCGGAUGAACUGAGGGUAGCGGAGAAAUUCCAAUCGAACUUGGAGAUAGCUGGUUCUCUCCGAAAUAGCUUUAGGGCUAGCCUCAAGUGAUGAUUAUUGGAGGUAGAGCACUGUUUGGACGAGGGGCCCCUCUCGGGUUACCGAAUUCAGACAAACUCCGAAUGCCAAAUAAUUUAACUUGGGAGUCAGAAUGUGGGUGAUAAGGUCCAUAUUCGAAAGGGAAACAGCCCAGACCACCAGCUAAGGUCCCAAAAUAUAUGUUAAGUGGAAAAGGAUGUGGCGUUGCCCAGACAACUAGGAUGUUGGCUUAGAAGCAGCCAUCAUUUAAAGAGUGCGUAAUAGCUCACUAGUCGAGUGACACUGCGCCGAAAAUGUACCGGGGCUAAACAUAU
This 608-nucleotide ribosomal RNA is filed under the name Staphylococcus pseudintermedius. RNAcentral's name for it is "partial 23S ribosomal RNA". It matches the Rfam family "Bacterial large subunit ribosomal RNA", at positions 582 to 1191 of the family's 2925-position model. The record is from RNAcentral. Lineage: Bacteria; Bacillati; Bacillota; Bacilli; Caryophanales; Staphylococcaceae.